GCAGUAGCCACGGUAAUACGAAGGGGGCUAGCGUUGUUCGGAAUUACUGGGCGUAAAGCGCACGUAGGCGGAUAUUUAAGUCAGGGGUGAAAUCCCGCAGCUCAACUGCGGAACUGCCUUUGAUACUGGGUAUCUUGAGUAUGGAAGAGGUUAGUGGAAUUGCGAGUGUAGAGGUGAAAUUCGUAGAUAUUCGCAGGAACACCAGUGGCGAAGGCGGCUAACUGGUCCAUAACUGACGCUGAGGUGCGAAAGCGUGGGGAGCAAACAGGAUUAGAUACCCCCGUAGUCCCUGUCUCUUAUAC
This 302-nucleotide ribosomal RNA is filed under the name uncultured bacterium. Its description in RNAcentral is "partial 16S ribosomal RNA". It matches the Rfam family "Bacterial small subunit ribosomal RNA", at positions 508 to 807 of the family's 1533-position model. The record is from RNAcentral.